This 108-nucleotide ribosomal RNA is filed under the name Meridianimaribacter flavus. RNAcentral also lists the same sequence under 2 other names. The record is from RNAcentral. Lineage: Bacteria; Pseudomonadati; Bacteroidota; Flavobacteriia; Flavobacteriales; Flavobacteriaceae.
UAAGGUGGUUAUAGCGACGGGGCUCACCUCUUACCUUUCCGAACAGAGAAGUUAAGCCCGUUAGCGCCGAUGGUACUGCAACUGUGGGAGAGUAGGUCAUCGCCUUUU